RNAcentral lists this long non-coding RNA (407 nucleotides) under Brassica napus (rape). RNAcentral's name for it is "long non-coding RNA (BNAP_LNC002185)". The record is from RNAcentral. Lineage: Eukaryota; Viridiplantae; Streptophyta; Magnoliopsida; Brassicales; Brassicaceae.
UGGUGAAACUAUGAAAUGUCUAUGAUUUCAUGGAAGAAGUUGAUGCUGACCCCAACCAUACCCCUUCAUCUUCUAAAUACUAAACCCUAAACCAUAUUCACUAAAUCCUACACCCUAAUCACUAAUCCCUAAACCAAAAAUAUAAAUCAUAAACCUAAAUAGAAAUGAACAAAAUAAAUAUCAUGGUAUAUAUUGGUGAAAUUUUGAAAUAUCUAUGAUUUCAUGGAAGAAAUUAAAGUUAAUGCUGACCCCAACCAUACCCCCUCACCUUCUAAAUACUAAACCCUAAACCAUAUUCACUAAACCCUAAACCCAAAUAUAAACUCUAAACCCAAAUAGAAUGGAACAAAAUAAAUAGCAUGGUAUAUAUUGGUGAAAUAAUGAAAUGUCUAUGAUUUCAUGGAAGA